This 253-nucleotide ribosomal RNA is filed under the name uncultured bacterium. Its description in RNAcentral is "partial 16S ribosomal RNA". It matches the Rfam family "Bacterial small subunit ribosomal RNA", at positions 524 to 776 of the family's 1533-position model. The record is from RNAcentral.
UACGUAGGCAGCAAGCGUUGUUCGGAGUUACUGGGCGUAAAGGGUGUGUAGGCGGUUCUUUAAGUUUGGUGUGAAAUCUCCCGGCUCAACCGGGAGGGUGCGCCGAAUACUGAGGAGCUAGAGUGCGGGAGAGGAAAGUGGAAUUCCUGGUGUAGCGGUGAAAUGCGUAGAUAUCAGGAGGAACACCUGUGGCGAAAGCGGCUCACUGGACCACAACUGACGCUGAAGCACGAAAGCUAGGGGAGCAAACAGG